GGGGCGGAGGAGACCCCCGAGGGGCAGAGGAGACCCCCGAGGGAUAGAGGAGACCCCAAAGUUCUGGGGGAGACCCCCGAGGGGCAGAAAAGACCCCCGAGGGGUGGAGGAGACCCCCGAGGGGCGGAGGAGACCCCAAAGUUCCGGGGAAGACCCCCGAGGGAUAGAGGAGACCCCCGAGGGACGGAGGAGACCCCCGAGGGGCGGAGGAGACCCCAAAGUUCCGGGGGAGACCCCCGAGGGGUCGAGGAGACCCCCGAGGGGAGGGGGAGACCCCCGAGGGGCGGAGGAGACCCCCGAGGGGUGGGGGAGACCCCCGAGGGGCAGGGGAGACCCCGAGGGUCCGGGGCACUCACCCGAGUGGGUUUUGGCUGUUCCGGAGGAGUUUUUGGGGGGUUCGGUUCGGGUCCUUACGGACGGGACGGUCCCGGUUCGGGUCCCGGUUCGGGUCCCCUCCGGGCGGGUUCCGGUCCCUUGGCGCGGGACGGGGACGGUUCGGGACGGUUAGGUCUGUCCGGAGCGGUUCGGCUCCUCCCGGUUCGGUCUCUCCGGAGCGGUUCGGUCCCUCCUCCCGGUUCGGUUCCCUCAGGCGGGUUCGGGUUCCCUCAGGCGGGUUCGGGACAGUUCGGUCUGUCCGGAGCGGUUCGGCUCCUCCCGGUUCAGUUUCCUCAGGCGGGUUCGGGACCGUUCGGUCUCUCCGGAGCGGGUUCGGGACCGUUCAGUCUCUCCGGAGCGGUUCGGCUCCUCCCGGUUGGGCUCCCUCAGGCGGGUUCCGGUUCCCUCAGGCGGGUCCGAGUCCCCUCAGGCAAGUUCGGGACCUUCCGAACAGCUUCGGGUGCACGUUCGGGCCCCCCCGGUGGGGUUCGGGUCUCUCCGGGAGUGUUCGGGUCCCGCUUCGAGUCCAAGUUCGGCUGUUUCCGGAGCGGUUCGGCCCCUCCCGGUUCGGACCCUUCGGGCGCGUUCGGGUCUCUCCGCCGGGCGGUGCCCAGCGGGGCGUGGCCAGCGGGGAGUGACGUCAGGGGGUCCCGGAAUGACGUCACAGCAUCCCCACGAACUGGGGGGGGGGGGUCCCCAAAAGGGGGGGAGGGGCACCCACGUGUGUGGGUGGGGGAGGGGAGGGGGUGACACGAGGGACAAAGGGCGGCGCCCCCGCCCCUCCCCCCGCUCGGUUUUGGGCCGUUUUGGGCUGUUUUGGGAAGUUUUGGGCCGUUACCGGGGGAACGCGACCGCGGCCGCCCCAAAUAUUGCCGUGGUUGCCAUGGGAACGGGGUGGGGGGGGUAGGAGCGGGUGGGGGAGGGGCUCAGGGCGCGGGGGGGGCGCGGGGACCCCCCAAAUUCAGCGGGGGGGGGGGUGGGGAGGGGUCCCUCGCGGCUCAGCACCUGUGGGAGGAGGGGGCUCAGGGGGGCACCCAUGGCACCGGGACCCCCACCCAUAGGGCUGGGACCCCACCCAUGGCACCGGGACCCCCACCCAUAGGGCUGGGACCCCACCCAUAGAUUUUGGACCCCCACCCAUGGCCCUGGGACACCCACCCACAUCCCAGGACCCCCCCACG
Molecule: long non-coding RNA, 1556 nt
Organism: Taeniopygia guttata (zebra finch)
Lineage: Eukaryota; Metazoa; Chordata; Aves; Passeriformes; Estrildidae
Source: Ensembl